UGCCCUAUGGUGUAAUGGUUAGCACAGCGGUCUCUAAAACCGCACGUCUCAGUUCGAAUCUGAGUAGGGCGA
Molecule: transfer RNA, 72 nt
Filed under: Bacteriophage sp.
Description: tRNA-OTHER
Rfam family: tRNA
About the family: Transfer RNA (tRNA) molecules are approximately 80 nucleotides in length. Their secondary structure includes four short double-helical elements and three loops (D, anti-codon, and T loops). Further hydrogen bonds mediate the characteristic L-shaped molecular structure. tRNAs have two regions of fundamental functional importance: the anti-codon, which is responsible for specific mRNA codon recognition, and the 3' end, to which the tRNAs corresponding amino acid is attached (by aminoacyl-tRNA synthetases). tRNAs cope with the degeneracy of the genetic code in two manners: having more than one tRNA (with a specific anti-codon) for a particular amino acid; and 'wobble' base-pairing, i.e. permitting non-standard base-pairing at the 3rd anti-codon position.
Source: RNAcentral